UACGUAGGGGGCAAGCGUUGUCCGGAAUCAUUGGGCGUAAAGAGCGUGUAGGCGGCUUCGUCAGUCCGUUGUGAAAGUCCAGGGCUCAACCCUGGAAUGCCGAUGGAUACUGCGGAGCUAGAGUACGGAAGAGGCGAGUGGAAUUCCUGGUGUAGCGGUGAAAUGCGCAGAUAUCAGGAGGAACACCUAUGGCGAAGGCAGCUCGCUGGGACGUUACUGACGCUGAGACGCGAAAGCGUGGGGAGCAAACAGG
Molecule: ribosomal RNA, 253 nt
Filed under: uncultured bacterium
Lineage: Bacteria
Description: partial 16S ribosomal RNA
Rfam family: Bacterial small subunit ribosomal RNA
Source: RNAcentral